AAUCAACGCUGGCGGCGUGCCUAACACAUGCAAGUCGCACGAGAAAGGGCAGCAAUGCCUGAGUACAGUGGCGCACGGGUGAGUAACACGUGAAUGAUCUACCUCCGAGUGGGGAAUAACUGAGAGAAAUCUUAGCUAAUACCGCAUAACACUUACGAGUCAAAGCAGCAAUGCGCUUGGAGAGGAGUUCGCGGCAGAUUAGUUAGUGGCGGGGUAAUGGCCCACCAAGACGAUGAUCUGUAUCCGGCCUGAGAGGGCGCACGGACACACUGGAACUGAAACACGGUCCAGACUCCUACGGAGGCAGCAGUGGGGAAUUUUGCGCAAGUGGGGGAAACCCUGACGCAGCAACGCCGCGUGGAGGAUGAAAUCCCUUGGGAUGUAAACUCCUUUCGAUCGGGAAGAUAAUGACGGUACCGAGAGAAGAA
This 428-nucleotide ribosomal RNA is filed under the name uncultured bacterium. Its description in RNAcentral is "bacterial SSU rRNA". It matches the Rfam family "Bacterial small subunit ribosomal RNA", at positions 32 to 489 of the family's 1533-position model. The record is from RNAcentral.